AGUGAACGCUGGCGGUAGGCCUAACACAUGCAAGUCGAACGGCAGCACAGUAAGAGCUUGCUCUUACGGGUGGCGAGUGGCGGACGGGCGAGGAAUACAUCGGAAUCUACUUUUUCGUGGGGGAUAACGUAGGGAAACUUACGCUAAUACCGCAUACGACCUACGGGUGAAAGCAGGGGAUCUUCGGACCUUGCGCGAUUGAAUGAGCCGAUGUCGGAUUAGCUAGUUGGCGGGGUAAAGGCCCACCAAGGCGACGAUCCGUAGCUGGUCUGAGAGGAUGAUCAGCCACACUGGAACUGAGACACGGUCCAGACUCCUACGGGAGGCAGCAGUGGGGAAUAUUGGACAAUGGGCGCAAGCCUGAUCCAGCCAUACCGCGUGUGUGAAGAAGGCCUUCGGGUUGUAAAGCCCUUUUGUUGGGAAAGAAAAGCAGCAGGUUAAUACCCCGCUGUUCUGACGGUACCCAAAGAAUAAGCACCGGCUAACUUCGUG
RNAcentral lists this ribosomal RNA (492 nucleotides) under uncultured bacterium. Its description in RNAcentral is "partial 16S ribosomal RNA". It matches the Rfam family "Bacterial small subunit ribosomal RNA", at positions 29 to 507 of the family's 1533-position model. The record is from RNAcentral.